RNAcentral lists this long non-coding RNA (2231 nucleotides) under Pan troglodytes (chimpanzee). RNAcentral's name for it is "long non-coding RNA NONPTRT017261". Lineage: Eukaryota; Metazoa; Chordata; Mammalia; Primates; Hominidae. The record is from RNAcentral.
UAGUAUUGCAGUGUGCUUUAACAAGCAUGGGCUUUGACAUCAGACAUUUGUUGCCAUCUGGACUCCACAAGUGAAUUUGCUACGGGAUUUGGAGGAGGGAAAGGCACUGUUUCCAUACCUCAGUGGUUUUCUCAUCUGCAAAAUAGGUAUGUGAUUGCAUGGAUUGACUUAUGUGAUGAAUAUAAAGUUGUUCAUUAGUACAGUACCUGUCAUAUUAAGUACUCAAUAAAUGCUAGUUAUUAUUAAUGCUGUGUUUUAGGUGUUCAGUAAAUAGUUGCCAUAAUGCUUAAAGCAGACAUAACUUGUUUUUAUUUUAGCAAUAAAGAUGAUGCCAACUUUUUGGUUUAAUGGAAAUGCUUUGAAUCUUUGAUAUUGUUGUAAUAUAGUGGCAAAGAAUUUUGAAUCCCAGCUUCUGGAGCUCAUAUCUUGAUUCUGCGAGUUACUUCGCUGUGUUACUUUGGGGGAAGUUAUUAAUCUCUCUGUGCCUCAGUUUCCUCAGUCAACUAAAUUGAAAUUAUAAUAGCACCUACCUGAUAGGAUUGUUGAGACUAAAUGAGGUAACAAUUUAAAAAUAAGCUAAUACCUGAUAAUUAGUUCUAUAUAUGUAUUGAUUGGUCUAAACGUUAUUUCCAUUUUCAUGUCUUUACUUAAAAUACUGAAAAUUAAUUUUUUAUAGCUUUGUUUUUCAGUUCCAUGAAAUCAGCCUGCCUUUUCUUUUUUUGGUGAUGCAUCCACAUUCUGUAUAGGUAAAAAGCAAAACAAACAAGUAUAAAACGAGAAUUAUGUAAGAAGUACACACAUCCUAGCAGCUUGGCAAGUGUCUGUAUGCUCUUGCCUGUGCCUAAAUCCAGAAUUAGAAUUCAUGUUUGGUGCUCCUGUGGAAGAUGUCUAAAUGUUAUGAGAAAUACAUGAUUAAAUAAAAAUGUGAAAUGAAAGCAUGGAGACUUGUUGAAGGGGUAUCCACCAUGAUUAUAUAUGAUGGGGAGGAAAGGGAUUACUCCAUUUCUGCCCCUGCAGUCUGUAGGCAUGAUUGAUUGCAUCAUUGGUCGCCGGUGAUUAACUCAAUCUCCAAGCCCUGUCGUGUCCCUGGAGGUUGGAGGGUGGCACUGAAAGCUCCAACCAUCUCAUCAUGCUUUGAUCUUUCCGAUGACCAGACCCCACCCUGAAGCUAUCUACGGGUCCCCAGCAACAUUCAUUUCGUUAUCAUACAAAUGACAUUCUUACAAUUUCAGAGAUUCCAAGGGCUUUAGGAAAUGGAGAUGAAGAGCAAAUAUAUAUUUCACAAUAUCACAAACAUACCCUUGGGAAUUAGACCUCUGAUCUAAUCUAGGCUCCCUCACUUGCGAUUUUUGUGACCUUGAACAAGUUGUUCAUCUUUUCUGGAUAGUUCUCUGUUAAAAAAAUUAAAAUAAAAAAAUGGUGGCUAUCAGGUUGUUAGGAGGACUAGAUAAGAGAACUAUGUGAAGGACCCUGCACAGUGCUAGCAACAAAGUUGUUUAGUAAGUACUAUUUCAAUUUAUUUUGCUUCCAAGCUCAUGUGAGCUCCCUCAGUGUGUACCACCAAAUCAUAUGAUGUGUAUCCCAGUCAAAUCUUAAAGGUCAUCCACCUUGAAUCUUUAAGUUAAUUGAUGUGUGUUUUUAAAACUGCAUUAUAAGAAUGUUAGGGUUUUUGUUUUGAUCCUAUGGAAGUUAAACUUUUUUACGCAAGCAUUCAACUGUUUAGCUUCAAACUGAACAGAUAAAUAGUCUGUAUUAUUUCAUUAUGUAUUAAAAAAUGAUUAAGCCUGCCUCAGGCAGUUCAGACAAAGCAGGUAAAAGAUUAUCAAGGAGUAACAUUAGAAAACACUAAUCAGAGUGCCUAAAAAGCUUUAUGCGGUCCAGGUUGUACAGGGAUGUUGGAACAGUAAAACAAACAAAACAUUACAAGGUAUGAAGCGUUCGAGAUAGGUAGAAUAGAGCAGGUUAUAUUAGAGAAGUCUCUUCUAAAAUUGUGUUGGCUAGCCUGGGAUUUGAACUUAUACCGUGUAUGUAUGUCCAUGUGUAACAGGUUGAACAUGCAAGAAGCAGUGUUCAUAAAAGGUGGCAAACUUGUUUUACUUGUUUCUCAGUCUUUUCAGAUCAGUACUUAUAAAACACUGAUAUUUACAGUAAAUAUAUUAAAUAUUAGCUAACCCUAUUAAAUUGUGUGUCCUUGUGCUGCAGUCAUUUAAUGACCUCAUUCUUUGGUAAGU